AACGGUUAAAAUCGAACGACAUCCUAAAAAUGGAUGAUUGGAUCCUUCAAUUGAAGAUCGGAGUUAUUGAUCUUUAUUUAGGUAGUGAAUAGAAUUUUCUAUCAAAAAUUCAACCUGUUCCGAUUCUUUUCCACCAUUAAACUAGCAAAUAUCUCAUUCCGGCCGUUAAAAGUUGUCAAUUUUGUGAGCUUUUGAUCAUAAGGUAAAGAAUAUCGAAAAAUUAUAAAAUUUGAUUUCUAGAGGUUUUAAAUGCUUGAUCUAGAUAAUAUUUAACGAUAUGGAUCGUCGAUUCGGAAGCUCUAUCAUCGAAAACAACUUAUGAGUAUGAAGGCGAUCGUAUCAUAAGAGUAUAGUAACCGAACUAUAUAUAUAUAUAUAUAUAUAUUCGAGCUUUUCGAACCUAAUUUGAGCGAGCCGAGUAAUACUCAAGCUCGGCUUGAAAUGAAUUUCGAGCCUUAUUUUUUGUUCAAACUCAAAUCAUUUAAUUUCGAGCCGAGCUCGAGCAAACCGAAUAUCGAGCCAAACGCGAGCCGAUUCGCACAUUCGCCAGCCAUAGUCAGUU
Molecule: long non-coding RNA, 562 nt
Filed under: Ananas comosus (pineapple)
Lineage: Eukaryota; Viridiplantae; Streptophyta; Magnoliopsida; Poales; Bromeliaceae
Description: long non-coding RNA (ACOM_LNC012314)
Source: RNAcentral